UGAGUCUAUGUUUCUGCGCUAUGUCUGGUCCACGUGAACUACUUCUUCUCUUUGUCGACUCGGGUUUGUGACCUUACGAUCCCUCUUCCCCUUCUUCGGCGAAGUAACGCUCUGGCGUUAUCUCAAUCAACGAAGAAAACCUACUUCAUUUCACCUUUUAUUUGUUCUUUAGACUUUAAUCCCUCUUUCACUGUAUAUAUAUAUACCUUCGGCUUGGCAUCUCCUUUUAAUCUACUUUUCACCGAUUGCUUCUCACUGAAACUCUCAGACAAGCUCUCCAAUAAUGGAAAUUACCCAGCUUCACUUCUCCGAUAGAAGGCAGACCGUUGAAAGGAGGAUAUUAUGAGACUCCUCCAUUUUUGAAAAGCUCACGGAAUGUGAAGUAAGGGGGUCAGUUGAUGGGCGUAAUAGAUAUGCUCAACCUUGAUGCUUCAAGGCUACGGUGAUUCAUGGUGACCGUUGGUAAUGGUUGAAGAUGGGGGGAGAUGCCACAACAGAACCAAGUCACACUCUCACCUCAGUUGAUGGAAGCAAAACAUGAGAGGCAGGGCCGGCUUAAACUCUUCUUAGGCCCUGUGGCGAAAAUUUUUUUGUCCCCGUAAAGUAAGAAAAAUAUGGCUUAUUGCAACAAAAUAAAACAACUGUGUUAAUCAAAACAAGCAAAACAAAUGUGUAACAACUCACUGAAAUAACUAAUGUCGUAAUCUAAAAACUAACAGAAAUUAAAUCAUUUGAUUGAGAAACGUUAUUCAUACGAUCAAACCCGAAUUUUAAUCAGCACUUAAGCUUUUCACAAAUCUACUUGAAGCAUCUUUUGUGUGAUUGAAUAAAAAAUUCAAAUAAAAGGAAAAAUAACACUUAGGAAUAGGAAUCUGAACGUCUAAAAGAAAAAAAACAAAGUUGGGAAAGACCAGCAAAUAUACGUUGAACUGUAUUUAAGAAACAAAAAUAUAUUAAGAAAAAUAGAUAUAAGUUGAACUGUAUUUAGGAAUCUGUUGGGUUUUCUUCCUGACCACCUUCAAACAUACAAUGAUUUUUGAUGAGAGCGUGUUAACAAAUAACUGAAUGACCAAAUAACAAUAUGGUUUCGGUUUAGCUCUACAACCAUUAUAUAUAAUUUAUUUCUUAUGACCGUGUACAAAACAAGAAAACAUAACUUUAAAGCCUAAAAUUGAGAAAUUUAAAAAACUUUUAUUCAAGUCCGUUACCCAUUUUCAAUCGACCAUGAGGAGAUUUAAAUUCUAAUGAUUAUCUUUAAAACCUAAAAUAAUUUAAUGCUAUAAGAAAUUAAAAAAUUUAUGGACCCUUUUUGUGCAUGGACCCUGGGCGGUCGUCCUGCUGACCCCACCACUUAAGCUGGCCCUGAUGAGAGGAGGGACCUGUCAAGCAAGAUGUUUCUUCUUAAAAUAAACCACGGAAGCUUCUCUUUCAAGCAGCAGGACUCCAUUUGAGCACACAAGGUUUAGUAGCGGAAACAAAAGAUAUCAGUGGCAUAGCCUAAAGAUUAUCCGCUUCAUGCCAUUGCUGUCUAAACCAAGCCCUCUUUCAUCCCAGAUGUGGAGUUCAGUUACUAUGAUACACAAGUUCAUGCUGACUUAUAUCAACUAAUCAAGUAUUACUGUGAAGAGAAAUGUGCUACGGAACAGUCAGAUAAAGUAAUGAAGUUGUGGGUGUUGCAAAGUCCAAAGACAAUUAAGAGAAGCAUGAGCCAGUGAAAGACAACACCUGUGAUGGUUCUCACGUCUCAAACCUAAAACCGCUUCCACCUCCAAAAAACACCGACUAAAGAAAAUCCAACAAUAGGAAACUCUUUUGUGCAAGAUAACUACAUCAUGGUGCAGCUAUGACUACUGAGGAAAGCUAUUUUUCAAAGCUGGUGUCACCACUCAGAAAUGAGUUGUUAACAGAGGUGUAGAGAAUUGUAGUAAUGUUAGUGAUGUAUCAAAAGGGAAAGCGUAAGGUUAAGCGAAAAGAGGCCAUAAAGUUGAAGCACAGGCUCAUGGAUGCCCUCUAUAAUUUACUUGAUGGCUCGAGUGAUAAUAAAAAGUUUGAAGAAUGAAUGCCAAGCUUUUAUUGGAGCAGAGCUCAUAUAUUCUAUGAGUCCUUUAAUUCUGCAAUUUUCUUCUCUGUUUUUUAUUUAUUUAUUACUAAGCUUUUUGGAACCAAGCAUGACUUUCAAACCUUUUUAGCAAUGUUAACUUCAUUAUGUUUCAUGUCCUCAAGCUAUGAUUUUUUUUGUCAACCUUCAAGCUAUGAUUAAUAACUUUAUUUU
Molecule: long non-coding RNA, 2272 nt
Organism: Brassica napus (rape)
Lineage: Eukaryota; Viridiplantae; Streptophyta; Magnoliopsida; Brassicales; Brassicaceae
Exons: 5
Source: RefSeq, a predicted model, not a curated record